Long non-coding RNA from Bolinopsis microptera, 405 nucleotides. RefSeq lists it as uncharacterized. The record is from RefSeq and is a predicted model, not a curated record. The transcript has 3 exons. NCBI's taxonomy places the organism in Eukaryota, Metazoa, Ctenophora, Tentaculata, Lobata, Bolinopsidae.
UAAUCUUUCCAGUCAUAAGUAUUCCAGUUGCUCUGAACCGACACAUCGUGUAGUUUACCGGGCAAGUCUUCCAUUCCAUAAUCUAAAGAACCGUGACUAAGUUUCCGGGUAGAAGUAAGCUAACGACGAUAAGAUUCCCGAUCUCCCUCUCACUUGAAGGACCAUUAUACGGAUUGAAGUUGUUCUUGAGGUCAAUAGACCCGAAUCUUCCUACUCAGAACGUGCUGCCUUUGCCGAUACCUGCUAGAUUAAUUGAUUCUCCGUCGUCAACCGAGGUAAUUAGUUCAGUUAUAACGUCCGCAUAAAAUAAGUAGUUGUCUUAAAUAGUAAAUUUAUUAAGUAUUAUAUUAUUGUUUAUCGAGUAAGACGUGUGCAGGUUUAAAGUAGAUUUCCUGUUGGUUACGU